This 253-nucleotide ribosomal RNA is filed under the name uncultured bacterium. RNAcentral describes it as "partial 16S ribosomal RNA". It matches the Rfam family "Bacterial small subunit ribosomal RNA", at positions 524 to 776 of the family's 1533-position model. The record is from RNAcentral.
UACGUAGGGGGCGAGCGUUGUCCGGAUUCAUUGGGCGUAAAGCGCGGGCAGGCGGCCCGCUCAGUCGGCCGUGAAAGCGCCGGGCUCAACUCGGCGCGGUCGGGCGAUACUGGCGGGCUGGAGGCUGGUAGAGGGCGGUGGAAUUCCGGGUGUAGUGGUGGAAUGCGUAGAGCUCCGGAGGAACACCAGUGGCGAAGGCGGCCGCCUGGGCCGAGAUUGACGCUGAUGCGCGAAAGCCAGGGGAGCAAACGGG